UUCCUGGUGGUCUAGUGGUUAAGACUCCACGCUUCCAAAGCAGGGUGCCCAGGUUCAAUCCCAGGUCAGGGAU
Non-coding RNA from Ovis aries (sheep), 73 nucleotides. Lineage: Eukaryota; Metazoa; Chordata; Mammalia; Artiodactyla; Bovidae. The record is from Rfam.